This is a long non-coding RNA of Colossoma macropomum (tambaqui), 1112 nucleotides long. RefSeq lists it as uncharacterized. The transcript has 4 exons. Lineage: Eukaryota; Metazoa; Chordata; Actinopteri; Characiformes; Serrasalmidae. The record is from RefSeq and is a predicted model, not a curated record.
GAGCGAGGCCAAUUGGCUCAGUGCACGUAACGCUCUACCGGUGUUGUAUCCGAUUCAGUUCCCCCUGGAAAUCAUGUUUCCUUUGAGAAAUCAGAUUCUCGGGCACGCGCAUUCAGCAAACAGAAACCAACGCCAGGCAACACUGGAACUACGGGAGGCGAAAGGGUUUAUUAACCACCGCUCGUGAAAAUAAAAAUAUAGUCAUCACGAUAGCUUCAUGGUUACGGUGGUUAAUAAGCACAACAAACACAGAACUGACAUUUCAGAAAUAAUGUUAUAUCACAGUGAACAGAAUUCGUACAAAAACUGAUUCUGGCAGCAUUUUACUGGGAAAUACUUUUCGUAUUGCUCUCCGCCGGUGGAAACACGCUUUUUUGUUUCAUUUCCGGUUAGCAAAACAACGCUAGCACAGAUGGACUUUGACGCUGGUUUGUCAACAAUGACGUUUUACAUGGGAUGUUUGCAAGACCCUUUUCAAAUGAUGGACAACGAUGUUCAUUGCAUCGUCAAGACAUUAACCGUGGCUUCUUCAAGCAAAAAGAAAAAGUGUUCAAGAUGUACAUCUACUAUGUACUAUGAAGAUUGUUCUAAAUGAUUCAAGACCAGUCUCUAUGGCCCCUGCUCAUGUGUUGCUGGGACCACUUUGUGCAACCAUGUGGUGGCAUUGCUUUAUCAUACCGCAUAUUAUUCACAACUGCAAAUUCCUGCCGUUCCUCCUGUCUUGAGCUGCACAGAGAGUGACCAGCAAUGGCACAAGCCAAGAACUUUGGUGUUAAGCCAGGACCUGUGGAUAAAAUGGCUGUACUCUUAGCAAGACCUAAGCAAAGAGCAGUUUUUGAGGGUGUACGGAGCACUCUGUACAAAGCGAUGUCUGGAGAUCUGCCAGACCUCUCUGUCCUGCAUGUGGCUGAAGUUUAAAAGGAAACUUUAGACCUAAUGCUAUAUAUUACAUGUUAUAUUUUGUGUUUUGAUUUAGGUUUAAUUCAGAUUUUUUAAAGCUUUAUGUAAGCCCAAUGAGUAGCUACAGAAAGCAAAAUGUGUGAAACAUGUCUUUGGCACAGUUCUGAUUGCCAUUAUAAUUGAUGGUUUGGAGUUAUUAAAAACUGUCAAAA